ACGAACGCUGGCGGCGUGCUUAACACGUGCAAGUCGAACGGAAAGGCCCUGCUUUUGUGGGGUGCUCGAGUGGCGAACGGGUGAGUAACACGUGAGUAACCUGCCCUUGACUUUGGGAUAACUUCAGGAAACUGGGGCUAAUACCGGAUAGGAGCUCCUGCUGCAUGGUGGGGGUUGGAAAGUUUCGGCGGUUGGGGAUGGACUCGCGGCUUAUCAGCUUGUUGGUGGGGUAGUGGCUUACCAAGGCUUUGACGGGUAGCCGGCCUGAGAGGGUGACCGGCCACAUUGGGACUGGGAUACGGCCCAGACUCCUACGGGAGGCAGCAGUGGGGAAUAUUGCACAAUGGGCGGAAGCCUGAUGCAGCAACGCCGCGUGCGGGAUGACGGCCUUCGGGUUGUAAACCGCUUUCGCCUGUGACGAAGCGUGAGUGACGGUAAUGGGUAAAGAAGCACCGGCUAACUACGUG
Molecule: ribosomal RNA, 467 nt
Filed under: uncultured bacterium
Lineage: Bacteria
Description: partial 16S ribosomal RNA
Rfam family: Bacterial small subunit ribosomal RNA
Source: RNAcentral